GUAAGUUUGAUCCUGGCUCAGAUUGAACGCUGGCGGCAUGCCUUACACAUGCAAGUCGAACGGCAGCACGGGGGCAACCCUGGUGGCGAGUGGCGAACGGGUGAGUAAUACAUCGGAACGUGUCCUGUAGUGGGGGAUAGCCCGGCGAAAGCCGGAUUAAUACCGCAUACGAUCUACGGAAGAAAGCGGGGGAUCGCAAGACCUCGCGCUAUAGGGGCGGCCGAUGGCAGAUUAGCUAGUUGGUGGGGUAAAGGCCUACCAAGGCGACGAUCUGUAGCUGGUCUGAGAGGACGACCAGCCACACUGGGACUGAGACACGGCCCAGACUCCUACGGGAGGCAGCAGUGGGGAAUUUUGGACAAUGGGGGAAACCCUGAUCCAGCAAUGCCGCGUGUGUGAAGAAGGCCUUCGGGUUGUAAAGCACUUUUGUCCGGAAAGAAAACUUCUGCCCUAAUACGGUGGGAGGAUGACGGUACCGGAAGAAUAAGCACCGG
This 494-nucleotide ribosomal RNA is filed under the name bacterium PMB312. Its description in RNAcentral is "bacterial SSU rRNA". It matches the Rfam family "Bacterial small subunit ribosomal RNA", at positions 1 to 496 of the family's 1533-position model. The record is from RNAcentral.